GGGCGAUUAGCUCAGAUGGUAGAGCGCCUCGUUCACACCGAGGAGGUCACAGGAUCGAUGCCUGUAUCGCCCACCC
RNAcentral lists this transfer RNA (76 nucleotides) under Ilumatobacter sp. Its description in RNAcentral is "tRNA-Val". It matches the Rfam family "tRNA". From Rfam's summary of the family: Transfer RNA (tRNA) molecules are approximately 80 nucleotides in length. Their secondary structure includes four short double-helical elements and three loops (D, anti-codon, and T loops). Lineage: Bacteria; Bacillati; Actinomycetota; Acidimicrobiia; Acidimicrobiales; Ilumatobacteraceae. The record is from RNAcentral.